Molecule: ribosomal RNA, 509 nt
Filed under: uncultured bacterium
Lineage: Bacteria
Description: partial 16S ribosomal RNA
Rfam family: Bacterial small subunit ribosomal RNA (bases 20-331)
Source: RNAcentral
GACGAACGCUGGCGGCGUGCUUAACACAUGCAAGUCGAACGGAAAGGCCCUGCUUUUGUGGGGUGCUCGAGUGGCGAACGGGUGAGUAACACGUGAGUAACCUGCCCUUGACUUUGGGAUAACUUCAGGAAACUGGGGCUAAUACCGGAUAGGAGCUCCUGCUGCAUGGUGGGGGUUGGAAAGUUUCGGCGGUUGGGGAUGGACUCGCGGCUUAUCAGCUUGUUGGUGGGGUAGUGGCUUACCAAGGCUUUGACGGGUAGCCGGCCUGAGAGGGUGACCGGACACAGGGAUGGGGUGACACGCGCCACAGGCAGAGGGGGGGGGGCGUGGGGGUAGAGGGCGCGCGGGGGCGACGUCUGGGGACGACACGCGGGGGGCGGGAGGGCGGCCGGGGCGUUGAAAGCCGCGGUCGCGGGUGACGAGGGGGGAGUGACGGUAGGGGGGAAAGAGGCACCGUCUAACUACGUGCCAGCGGCGGGGGUAAUAAUGGGACGAGCACACGUUUGAUC